Molecule: long non-coding RNA, 353 nt
Organism: Musa acuminata AAA Group (dessert banana)
Lineage: Eukaryota; Viridiplantae; Streptophyta; Magnoliopsida; Zingiberales; Musaceae
Exons: 2
Source: RefSeq, a predicted model, not a curated record
UGUUAAAUUGUUGAUUAUUUUUCCUGUCCUCCUUCUGUCAGCAUUUUAUAUAUAUUGAAGUUAAGUCUAUCUCUUUGUUUUCUGAAUGUUUUAUUCCUAGUGUUUUUGUGGGUAGUUGCCGAAGCAUCAUCGUUAGGCAUGAUUCUAUUAAAUAGAGAUGAUUCUAUAUGUGUCAUCGACCCCGUUGGUGGGGCUCUGGUGUUUUUGUGGUUAUUAUCUGUAUGGAGCCACACGUAGCUGUGAUGCAGUUUGUAAAGGAUGCUCCAAUUAAGGAUGCUCUGGUUUUUGUUGAAUGAUUUAAAUAGGUUUUCCAUUAGAUAGUGUUAUAUUUAAGGGGUUUCAUUGUUGUGACA